This 683-nucleotide long non-coding RNA is filed under the name Olea europaea subsp. europaea. Lineage: Eukaryota; Viridiplantae; Streptophyta; Magnoliopsida; Lamiales; Oleaceae. The record is from RNAcentral.
GAAAUAUUCUAUUUCCAUGCAAUUACCUUUCCAAAGUCACAAGUAUAAAUACAUAUAUUGCAUGGCUGUUAUACUUAUAACCUGUCACAUUAAGAAGCGUAUACACAUAGCUUCUCAAAGUAUCAACAAUACAAAAAGCACUAAAAAGAGAUUAUAUGGGACGUUGGAUGAAAUCCGAGGUACGUAAGUGCGAUCGCUUCGGAGAAAUUCUAUCUGCUUCUUUUUCGUUAGUUUAGCCACGUUAAACUUAUUUUUUAAGAAUAGAUUUUGCAAAAAGUGAUUUUUAAAUUACUAGCCAUUAGUCAUAGACGAUAUGUUGAAAAAAUUGAAAUUGACUCAAAAAAUGUUGUGAUUUUUUAAUAGAAUUUUAGAUUAAAAUUACAUGUCAUUAUGUGCUUUUGCUGAUAAAUUCAAAUAAUAAUGAACUUUAUUGCAGGUUUCAUGUUAAAUAUAUAACUUAUACUCCAAAGAAAAAAAUAGCAAAAUAUAUGUUAUUUUUCUACAAAAUUUUAAUUGAUUACAUAAAUUAUUUUGUCUUAAUUAAUUUUUCAAAAAAUUAGUAAUGAUUUCCAAAUUGAAACUUUUAAUUAAUUUCGUAUGUGACAGGUUUACCCUCUUGUGGCUGCCAUGACUUUCGUCACUGGGAUGUGCCUAUUUCAGCGGGGUAUUAUUAUAAAUGACCU